RNAcentral lists this ribosomal RNA (546 nucleotides) under soil bacterium S82D1. Its description in RNAcentral is "bacterial SSU rRNA". It matches the Rfam family "Bacterial small subunit ribosomal RNA", at positions 58 to 581 of the family's 1533-position model. The record is from RNAcentral.
CAAGUCGAGCCGAACAGAGAAGGAGCUUGCUCCUUUGACGUUAGCGGCGGACGGGUGAGUAACACGUGGGCAACCUACCUUAUAGUUUGGGAUAACUCCNGGGAAACCGGGGCUAAUACCCGAAUAAUCUAUUUUUACUUCAUGGUGAAAUACUGAAAGACGGUUUCGGCUGUCGCUAUAAGAUGGGCCCGCGGCGCAUUAGCUAGUUGGUGAGGUAACGGCUCACCAAGGCGACGAUGCGUAGCCGACCUGAGAGGGUGAUCGGCCACACUGGGACUGAGACACGGCCCAGACUCCUACGGGAGGCAGCAGUAGGGAAUCUUCCACAAUGGGCGAAAGCCUGAUGGAGCAACGCCGCGUGAGUGAAGAAGGUUUUCGGAUCGUAAAACUCUGUUGUAAGGGAAGAACAAGUACAGUAGUAACUGGCUGUACCUUGACGGUACCUUAUUAGAAAGCCACGGCUAACUACGUGCCAGCAGCCGCGGUAAUACGUAGGUGGCAAGCGUUGUCCGGAAUUAUUGGGCGUAAAGCGCGCGCAGGCGGUCC